Molecule: transfer RNA, 71 nt
Filed under: Ictidomys tridecemlineatus (thirteen-lined ground squirrel)
Lineage: Eukaryota; Metazoa; Chordata; Mammalia; Rodentia; Sciuridae
Description: Spermophilus tridecemlineatus (thirteen-lined ground squirrel) tRNA
Rfam family: tRNA
About the family: Transfer RNA (tRNA) molecules are approximately 80 nucleotides in length. Their secondary structure includes four short double-helical elements and three loops (D, anti-codon, and T loops). Further hydrogen bonds mediate the characteristic L-shaped molecular structure. tRNAs have two regions of fundamental functional importance: the anti-codon, which is responsible for specific mRNA codon recognition, and the 3' end, to which the tRNAs corresponding amino acid is attached (by aminoacyl-tRNA synthetases). tRNAs cope with the degeneracy of the genetic code in two manners: having more than one tRNA (with a specific anti-codon) for a particular amino acid; and 'wobble' base-pairing, i.e. permitting non-standard base-pairing at the 3rd anti-codon position.
Source: Rfam by way of RNAcentral
GGGGAUGUAGCUCAGUGGUAGAGCACUUGCCUAGCGUCACGAGGCCCUGGGUUCCAUCCCCAGUACUGCCA